This 484-nucleotide ribosomal RNA is filed under the name uncultured bacterium. RNAcentral describes it as "partial 16S ribosomal RNA". It matches the Rfam family "Bacterial small subunit ribosomal RNA", at positions 30 to 507 of the family's 1533-position model. The record is from RNAcentral.
AUUGAACGCUGGCGGCAGGCCUAACACAUGCAAGUCGAGCGGAUGAAGGGAGCUUGCUCCUGGAUUCAGCGGCGGACGGGUGAGUAAUGCCUAGGAAUCUGCCUGAUAGUGGGGGAUAACGUCCGGAAACGGGCGCUAAUACCGCAUACGUCCUGAGGGAGAAAGUGGGGGAUCUUCGGACCUCACGCUAUCAGAUGAGCCUAGGUCGGAUUAGCUAGUUGGUGGGGUAAAGGCCUACCAAGGCGUCGAUCCGUAACUGGUCUGAGAGGAUGAUCAGUCACACUGGAACUGAGACACGGUCCAGACUCCUACGGGAGGCAGCAGUGGGGAAUAUUGGACAAUGGGCGAAAGCCUGAUCCAGCCAUGCCGCGUGUGUGAAGAAGGUCUUCGGAUUGUAAAGCACUUUAAGUUGGGAGGAAGGGCAGUAAGUUAAUACCUUGCUGUUUUGACGUUACCAACAGAAUAAGCACCGGCUAACUUCGUG